CCUACGGGUGGCAACAGUGAGGAAUAUUGGUCAAUGGGCGCGAGCCUGAACCAGCCAAGUCGCGUGAAGGAUUACUGCCCUACGGGUUGUAAACUUCUUUUAUAAAGGAAUAAAGUGAGGCACGUGUGCCUUUUUGUAUGUACUUUAUGAAUAAGGAUCGGCUAACUCCGUGCCAGCAGCCGCGGUAAUACGGAGGAUCCGAGCGUUUUCCGGAUUUAUUGGGUUUAAAGGGAGCGUAGAGGGGUUGUUAAGUCAGUUGUGAAAGUUUGCGGCGCAACCGUAAAAUUGCAAUUGAUACUGGCAGUCUUGAGUACAGGUGAGGUAGGCGGAAUUCGUGGUGUAGCGGUGAAAUGCUGAGAUAUCACGAAGAACCCCGAUUGCGAAGGCAGCUUACGAAACUGCAACUGACAUUGAUGCUCGAAAGUGUGGGUAUCAAACAGGAUGAGAUACCCGGGUAGUC
Molecule: ribosomal RNA, 460 nt
Filed under: uncultured bacterium
Lineage: Bacteria
Description: partial 16S ribosomal RNA
Rfam family: Bacterial small subunit ribosomal RNA
Source: RNAcentral